AUGCCGGACAGGAACAUUCUUGAAGGGGUGGUGGCACUGUAUGAAACGCUCCAUGAGAUUCACACGAAAAAACUGGAUGGAGUGGUUUUUAAGGUGGAUUUCGAGAAAGCGUACGAUAAAGUCAAAUGGCCUUUCUUUCAACAGGCAUUACGCAUGAAGGGUUUUGAUGAAGCUUGGCGACGCCAAGUAGAAUCCUUCACGCAAAAAGGGAGUGUUGGAAUUAAAGUGAAUGACGAUAUAGGUCAUUAUUUCCAGACACACAAGGGCCUCAGACAAGUUGAUCCAAUGUCUCCUAUUGUGUUCAACGUUGUCAUUGUUAUGUUGGCAAUCUUGAUAGGUCGGGCAAAGGAGGCCGGACAAGUAGGUGGCUUGGUGCCUCAUCUAGUUGAUGGUGGUGUGUCCAUCCUACAGUACGCCGAUGAUACAAUCAUCUUUAUGGAGCACGACUUGGCUAAGGCGAGAAAUAUGAAGCUGGUACUGUGCCUUUUCGAGCAAUUGACCGGUCUGAAGAUUAACUUCCAUAAAAGCGAGUUGUUCUGUUUUGGUAGAGCCAAAGAGGAACAAGAUGCAUACAAGCAACUGUUUGGUUGCGAACUGGGGGCUCUACCGUUCACUUAUCUAGGUAUCCCCAUUCACCAUCGUAAGUUGACUAACAGCGAAUGGAAGUGUAUCGAGGAUCGGUUUGAGAAGAAACUGAGCUGUUGGAAGGGCAAACUCAUGGCAUAUGGAGGCCGAUUGAUUCUCAUUAAUUCGGUGCUCACGAGUAUGCCUAUGUUUCUUUUAUCCUUUUUUGAAGUACCAGUUGGAGUUAGGAAAAUGUUGGACUUCUAUCGAUCACGUUUCUUCUGGCAGAGUGAUGAACUUAAGAGAAAGUACCAUUUAGCCAAAUGGGAUGUCAUCUGCCGACCAAAAGACCAAGGGUGUCUUGGGGUUGAGAACCUUGAAAUCAAGAACAGAUGCCUUCUCAGUAAGUGGCCAUAUAAGUUAUCUGUCGAGACUGAGGCAACUUGGGCGCAGAUUCUUCGUAACAAGUAUCUGUACUCUAAGACCUUGUCACAGGUGACAGUUAGACCAACUGAUUCGCCUUUCUGGAAGGGGCUAAUGAGGGUCAAAGCUACUUUCUUUAAUAGAACAAAGUUUAUUGUCGGUGCUGGCAAUAACACUCGAUUCUGGGAGGAUACUUGGCUUGGUGAUACGCCGCGGCUCUUUAGUAUCCGUCGCUAUAUCGUAUUGUGCAGCGACGUGAUGCUCUGGUUGCAACGAGUUUGCAAUCCGCUCCUCUUAAUAUUCACUUUAGGAGGGUGCUUGCUGGGGACCGGUGGGAGGCUUGGAUUCAUCUGGUGA
RNAcentral lists this ribosomal RNA (1344 nucleotides) under Triticum aestivum (bread wheat). RNAcentral's name for it is "partial small subunit ribosomal RNA". The record is from RNAcentral. Lineage: Eukaryota; Viridiplantae; Streptophyta; Magnoliopsida; Poales; Poaceae.